This is a non-coding RNA of Pelobates cultripes (western spadefoot toad), 254 nucleotides long. The record is from the annotation of a GenBank genome assembly. NCBI's taxonomy places the organism in Eukaryota, Metazoa, Chordata, Amphibia, Anura, Pelobatidae.
GUCCCUCUAGUUUUAACCCUGCAGCUGAAAACAUAGCAGUUUCAGAGAAACUGCUAUGUUUCACUGAGGGUUAAUCCAGCCUCUAGUGACUGUCUCACUGACAGCCGCUAGAGGCACUUCCACAAUUCUCACGGUGAAAAUCACAGUGAGAAGACGCUGGAUGUCCAUAGGAAAGCAUUGAGUGAUGCUUUCCUAUGGGCGGUUUGAAUGCGCGCGCAGCUCUUGCCUCUUGCGCAUUCGGAGCUGAGAGGCGG